This 1289-nucleotide ribosomal RNA is filed under the name Klebsiella quasipneumoniae. Its description in RNAcentral is "16S ribosomal RNA". It matches the Rfam family "Bacterial small subunit ribosomal RNA". Lineage: Bacteria; Pseudomonadati; Pseudomonadota; Gammaproteobacteria; Enterobacterales; Enterobacteriaceae. The record is from RNAcentral.
AGAGUUUGAUCAUGGCUCAGAUUGAACGCUGGCGGCAGGCCUAACACAUGCAAGUCGAGCGGUAGCACAGAGAGCUUGCUCUCGGGUGACGAGCGGCGGACGGGUGAGUAAUGUCUGGGAAACUGCCUGAUGGAGGGGGAUAACUACUGGAAACGGUAGCUAAUACCGCAUAACGUCGCAAGACCAAAGUGGGGGACCUUCAGGCCUCAUGCCAUCAGAUGUGCCCAGAUGGGAUUAGCUAGUAGGUGGGGUAACGGCUCACCUAGGCGACGAUCCCUAGCUGGUCUGAGAGGAUGACCAGCCACACUGGAACUGAGACACGGUCCAGACUCCUACGGGAGGCAGCAGUGGGGAAUAUUGCACAAUGGGCGCAAGCCUGAUGCAGCCAUGCCGCGUGUAUGAAGAAGGCCUUCGGGUUGUAAAGUACUUUCAGCGGGGAGGAAGGCGAUAAGGUUAAUAACCUUGUCGAUUGACGUUACCCGCAGAAGAAGCACCGGCUAACUCCGUGCCAGCAGCCGCGGUAAUACGGAGGGUGCAAGCGUUAAUCGGAAUUACUGGGCGUAAAGCGCACGCAGGCGGUCUGUCAAGUCGGAUGUGAAAUCCCCGGGCUCAACCUGGGAACUGCAUUCGAAACUGGCAGGCUAGAGUCUUGUAGAGGGGGGUAGAAUUCCAGGUGUAGCGGUGAAAUGCGUAGAGAUCUGGAGGAAUACCGGUGGCGAAGGCGGCCCCCUGGACAAAGACUGACGCUCAGGUGCGAAAGCGUGGGGAGCAAACAGGAUUAGAUACCCUGGUAGUCCACGCCGUAAACGAUGUCGAUUUGGAGGUUGUGCCCUUGAGGCGUGGCUUCCGGAGCUAACGCGUUAAAUCGACCGCCUGGGGAGUACGGCCGCAAGGUUAAAACUCAAAUGAAUUGACGGGGGCCCGCACAAGCGGUGGAGCAUGUGGUUUAAUUCGAUGCAACGCGAAGAACCUUACCUGGUCUUGACAUCCACAGAACUUNNNNNNNNNNNNNNNNNNNNNNNNNNNNNNNNNNNNNNNNNNNNNNGUCGUAGUCCGGAUUGGAGUCUGCAACUCGACUCCAUGAAGUCGGAAUCGCUAGUAAUCGUAGAUCAGAAUGCUACGGUGAAUACGUUCCCGGGCCUUGUACACACCGCCCGUCACACCAUGGGAGUGGGUUGCAAAAGAAGUAGGUAGCUUAACCUUCGGGAGGGCGCUUACCACUUUGUGAUUCAUGACUGGGGUGAAGUCGUAACAAGGUAACCGUAGGGGAACCUGCGGUUGGAUCACCU